Molecule: ribosomal RNA, 1146 nt
Filed under: Triticum aestivum (bread wheat)
Lineage: Eukaryota; Viridiplantae; Streptophyta; Magnoliopsida; Poales; Poaceae
Description: partial small subunit ribosomal RNA
Source: RNAcentral
AUGCGGAAGCCCUGGAGGCCGGGAUGCGCGUCCCGCUGCACGGCUUCUUCUGCGACGUGCUCGCCCAUUUCGGCAUCGCGCCGACCCAGCUCGCGCCCCAACGGGUGGCGCAUCUUGGCGGGCUUCCUGGUGCUCUGCCACUCCGCCGGCGUGCCGCCGUCGCUGCCCGUGUUCCGGUACUUCUUCCUGCUGUCGAUCGUCAACCGCAAGCACCGAGGGUGCUACUUCUUCCGAUCCAGGGACACCUCCGGCCUGCGCUUCAAGGGGAUGCCGAGCUGCAUCAAGGACUGGAAGAACUCGUUCUUCUUCCUCUCGUCGCCGGAGCCGUGGCCUUUCCCCGUGGAGUGGGGCGAGCCGUCCAAGAGCUCUUUCAUGGAGCCGGUACUUGACAGCGAGGGGAGGAAACACGCGGCGAAGCUACUGCGCAGUUACGCCGGCGCCGCCGUUGACAUCGACACAUGCCUCUCCGACAGCAACCUUGCAGCCGUCAUGGCACCUGUCGCAUCUACGCCGCCGCCGCCACCUUCGUUUACCCGCAUCACCUCCGAUUCCAAAGGCAUGGAUCCCUCUGUCUACGAGAUGAUGAAGCAUAUGCUGGCGGAGAAGGCGGCCGCUCAGGCGUCGGCGUCGGCGAAGAAGGCGAAAGCCGAGCCGGGCCGCCACGCGCCAGGGUCGCCGCCAUUGUGCGCAAAGAAGAGGAAUCUGGAGGAAGCCAACAGGGAGGAGGGCCCGCCUCGUUCUCUGCUGAACACGCCGCUGUCCGGCAUGCGCUCGCCACCGCCGGGGUUCCCCAUCAGCCACGACGGAGACGGCACGGGCUGGGAGGCUGCACGGGAGCUGCUGCAGGGCGCCGUCGCGCCACCGCAGCACCGUGCGUUCGCGGCGAACGAGCCGUCCGAUGUCGUCGCGGCGAGCUAUGUUGCGAUUCUCCAGGCGGCGAACUACGUGUCGACCUCCUUGGGCUACGCGCUGGAGCUGCAAGGGAAGCUGGCGGUGCGGGACGCGGAGGUCGCGGCGCUAGAGAAGCAGCUGAAGGAGACGAAGGCCGAGCUCGCCGCGGCCAGGGCCAGGGCGGAGCGGGAGAGUGCCAGAGGGGCGCGGGCGGCGGCUCGCGGAGCACGCGCUGGAGCGCUGGAGGAGUGGUAG